RNAcentral lists this unclassified non-coding RNA (200 nucleotides) under Nectria sp. (in: ascomycete fungi). RNAcentral's name for it is "Nectria sp. (in: Fungi) partial internal transcribed spacer 2". The record is from RNAcentral. Lineage: Eukaryota; Fungi; Ascomycota; Sordariomycetes; Hypocreales; Nectriaceae.
UUAAGUUCAGCGGGUAUUCCUACCUGAUCCGAGGUCAAACUUUCAGAAGUGGGGGGUUUAACGGCGUGGCCGCGCUGCGAUCCAGUGCGAGUGUUGCUACUACGCAGAGGAAGCUACAGCGAGACCGCCACUAUAUUUCGGGGCCGGCGGUAUGCCGAUCCCCAACGCCAGAUCCCCCGAAGGGGUUCUGAGGGUUGAAA